AACUCACGGUGAGGGCACCUUCUCAGUAAGUCCUUGUAUCUCUCCCGUGCAUCGUAAAGUGUUUCUAAAUCCAUCUACACAAAAUAAUAGAUAUCAUUUCAUAAUUU
RNAcentral lists this small nucleolar RNA (107 nucleotides) under Gossypium arboreum. Its description in RNAcentral is "Plant small nucleolar RNA R71". It matches the Rfam family "Plant small nucleolar RNA R71". From Rfam's summary of the family: R71 is a member of the C/D box family of snoRNAs containing the C (UGAUGA) and D (CUGA) box motifs. Multiple nearly identical copies of this snoRNA have been identified in Arabidopsis, and it is thought to function as a 2'-O-ribose methylation guide for 18S ribosomal RNA. Lineage: Eukaryota; Viridiplantae; Streptophyta; Magnoliopsida; Malvales; Malvaceae. The record is from Rfam by way of RNAcentral.